GGAAGCCUCUGGGUGAGGAUGAUGUCCUAGAAAUGAGUGGCUGGGGACUUUUUGUUUGGGCAUACAUCUGUUUGAUCUAGAGGUCAGCAGGGCCACAACAGGAAGAUCCAAGUACACACAAGCUUGCAGCCUGCAAGACAGCUUUGCAGAGGGAAAUCUACUGCCAAGUUUUCAGCUUUUCCAGGAGCUAGGCGGCUUUCUUCAGGAAAACUCUUUGAGCCCUCUCAGGAUGAAGAUCACAUCAAAAAUGACAAGGUUGAAAGAGGAGUCAGCUUCAGCAGGACAACCCCUAGUGAGCUAGGGCAGUACAAUUAUAGUCCCUUUCCAAGGUGUCUUCACUGUGUGUGGUGCAGAAUGGUUAACAUUGAACUACUGCAUGACUUGGAAGAAGCUCAAUCAUCUCCCAAAGCCAAACAUUUAUUCUUACAGAGUAGACUCUAUAUGCCUAUUGAAAGUCAGAUUCAAAAAACUACUUUAAAGUUCAUAUGGAACCAAAAAAGAGC
Molecule: long non-coding RNA, 503 nt
Filed under: Homo sapiens (human)
Lineage: Eukaryota; Metazoa; Chordata; Mammalia; Primates; Hominidae
Description: HSALNT0074001
Source: RNAcentral